UACGGAGGGGGCUAGCGUUGUUCGGAAUUACUGGGCGUAAAGGGCGCGUAGGCGGCCCCAGUACGCGUGCCGUGAAAGCCCGGGGCUCAACCCCGGGUCGGCGGUGCGAACGGGGGGGCUGGAGCCGAUCAGAGGCGGGCGGAAUUCCGGGUGUAGCGGUGGAAUGCGUAGAGAUCCGGAAGAACCCCGGGGGCGAAGUCGGCCCGCUGGGAUCGAGCUGACGCUGAGGCGCGCCAGCGUGGGGAGCAAACAGG
Molecule: ribosomal RNA, 254 nt
Filed under: uncultured bacterium
Lineage: Bacteria
Description: partial 16S ribosomal RNA
Rfam family: Bacterial small subunit ribosomal RNA
Source: RNAcentral